GCGGAUGAGGUAAGCGCACUCUUCUAAGGAUGCGAUUGUAACCCACUCAAGGUUGGGGUUGAGGGUUCGAAUCCCUUCGCCCGCUCCA
This 88-nucleotide transfer RNA is filed under the name Pseudomonadota bacterium. RNAcentral's name for it is "tRNA-Glu". The record is from RNAcentral. Lineage: Bacteria; Pseudomonadati; Pseudomonadota.